UACGAAGGGGGCGAGCGUUGUUCGGAAUUACUGGGCGUAAAGCGCACGUAGGCGGCUUUGUAAGUUAGAGGUGAAAGCCCAGGGCUCAACCCUGGAAUUGCCCUUAAGACUGCAUCGCUUGAACAUCGGAGAGGUAAGUGGAAUUCCGAGUGUAGAGGUGAAAUUCGUAGAUAUUCGGAAGAACACCAGUGGCGAAGGCGACUUACUGGACGAUUGUUGACGCUGAGGUGCGAAAGCGUGGGGAGCAAACAGG
Molecule: ribosomal RNA, 253 nt
Filed under: uncultured bacterium
Lineage: Bacteria
Description: partial 16S ribosomal RNA
Rfam family: Bacterial small subunit ribosomal RNA
Source: RNAcentral